Molecule: long non-coding RNA, 337 nt
Filed under: Strigops habroptila (Kakapo)
Lineage: Eukaryota; Metazoa; Chordata; Aves; Psittaciformes; Psittacidae
Description: lncRNA (ENSSHBG00005015227.1)
Source: RNAcentral
CCGGCGCCGCCGGGCGUUGCAGCACGCGUGUGCCGCGGCCCCUGGAAACGGGAAGGGGCGGGACGGGACGGUGGUCACCGCGUGCGGCCGGAACACCGGUGGCGGGCCAGACCAGCAAGUUACCAGAAGAGGGUGUAGCAGGAGUAAGCUGAAGCAUGAACACCCAUGUGCUGACCAGUACCUGCCUGCCUACGUGCACUUGCCACUCAGUGGAAGAGGGUGCUGCCUAGAAACCUGAGGCUCACAGUGCUCCAAGCUGGAAAUACUCCUAAGAAGAUUGUCUCUGUCUCAGAAAUCUUAAACAAUAAAUAAAAGACAAAAAUUUAAGAGAUUAGGA